This 69-nucleotide transfer RNA is filed under the name Macrophomina phaseolina MS6. It matches the Rfam family "tRNA", at positions 9 to 63 of the family's 71-position model. Rfam says of the family: Transfer RNA (tRNA) molecules are approximately 80 nucleotides in length. Their secondary structure includes four short double-helical elements and three loops (D, anti-codon, and T loops). Lineage: Eukaryota; Fungi; Ascomycota; Dothideomycetes; Botryosphaeriales; Botryosphaeriaceae. The record is from Rfam by way of RNAcentral.
GGCUCAGUGGUAGAGCGCCCGCUUUGCAGAUCCAUCUCGAAUGCGGGAGGUCUAGGGUUCGAUCCCCUA